Cinara cedri is the source of this 345-nucleotide non-coding RNA. NCBI's taxonomy places the organism in Eukaryota, Metazoa, Arthropoda, Insecta, Hemiptera, Aphididae. The record is from the annotation of a GenBank genome assembly.
ACCGAGGGGGAAAUAGGGUCUUUCUGUUCCCUCCUGUAGUUAUAAGUCACGAUGAAACUUAUUUUAACAAACAGAAUUAAAAAAAAAAAAAACACACAAUUCAUUCAAUAUCCUCUUUUCAUCCAUGAUAAUAAUAACAAGUCCUAUCAAUUAUAUCGUUUAAUAAUUUUAUCGUUAUCUAUCACAAUGAAAGAUAUCUUAAUUCGUGGUGAAUUUAUGAUUUUUGCAGGCAAAAUGUUCUAUUUCUUAUCACCAUACCACCGCUAUCCGCUAACCAUGGUACUAACAAUUGUUACCUAUUGACUGUAAUCUAAUCAGUUUGAUUACUUGAAUUUCUAAUUGCAA